AGGUGGAGCGAAUCUCCAAAAAUUAGUCCCAGUUCAGAUUGCAGGCUGCAACUCGCCUGCAUGAAGUCGGAAUUGCUAGUAAUCGUGGAUCAGCAUGCCACGGUGAAUACGUUCCCGGGCCUUGUACACACCGCCCGUCACACCAUGGGAGUCGGUAACACCCGAAGCCUGUAGUCUAACCGCAAGGAGGACGCAGUCGAAGGUGGGAUUGAUGACUGGGGUGAAGUCGUAACAAGGUAUC
RNAcentral lists this ribosomal RNA (241 nucleotides) under uncultured bacterium. RNAcentral's name for it is "partial 16S ribosomal RNA". It matches the Rfam family "Bacterial small subunit ribosomal RNA", at positions 1260 to 1500 of the family's 1533-position model. The record is from RNAcentral.